Brassica oleracea var. oleracea is the source of this 336-nucleotide long non-coding RNA. RefSeq lists it as uncharacterized. The transcript has 2 exons. NCBI's taxonomy places the organism in Eukaryota, Viridiplantae, Streptophyta, Magnoliopsida, Brassicales, Brassicaceae. The record is from RefSeq and is a predicted model, not a curated record.
UGCUGCUCUACCUCUUUUUGUCCCUGAACCCACCUCUUCUUCCUCAUUCUCAUGUUUCACUCCUGAUUCUUCCUCUUCCUCUACGAGGCACCUCAAGAUGGGAAACUUCUUUAGCUUGGCACAGUGGCAAGAACUUGAGCUACAAGCACUGAUCUACAGAUACAUGCUGGCUGGUGCUUCUGUUCCUCAAGAGCUCCUCUUGCCCAUCAAGAAAAGUCUCUUCCAUCAAUCUCCUUUGAACUUCCUUCAGCAUCCUCUGCAACAUAACUUCCCUCAUCACCAAGCUUCUUGUGAGACUCUCUCAAUCUUUGUCUUGUUUAUACUUCUAUUUUUUUU